UCUUCCGCAAUGGACGUAAGUCUGACGUAGCAACGCCACGUGAGUGAUGAAGGUUUUCGGAUCGUAAAGCUCUGUUGUUAGGGAAGAACAAGUACCGUUCGAUUAGGGCGGUACCUUGACGGUACCUAACCAGAAAGCCACGGCUAACUACGUGCCAGCAGCCGCGGUAAUACGUAGGUGGCAAGCGUUGUCCGGAAUUAUUGGGCGUAAAGGGCUCGCAGGCGGUUUCUUAAGUCUGAAGUGAAAGCCCCCGGCUCAACCGGGGAGGGUCAUUGGAAACUGGGGAACUUGAGUGCAGAAGAGGAGAGUGGAAUUCCACGUGUAGCGGUGGAAUGCGUAGAGAUGUGGAGGAACACCAGUGGCGAAGGCGACUCUCUGGUCUGUAACUGACGCUGAGGCGCGAAAGCGUGGGGAGCGAACAG
Molecule: ribosomal RNA, 422 nt
Filed under: uncultured bacterium
Lineage: Bacteria
Description: bacterial SSU rRNA
Rfam family: Bacterial small subunit ribosomal RNA
Source: RNAcentral